AUUUUUCUUGUACAAUUUUGGAGGUCAGGUUCCUUCACUGUUUACUUUGCAUUUGUACACUUAAUAUUGCAACUUAGAGUGGUUUUAUGGGUCAGUCUGUUUUACUCUGUUGAGUAUGCAUUGGACACGGGUGUCCCGCAUGGUUAAUAAAAAGAUCUGCUGCUGCCAAUAAAUUGGACCAAGCUGGCUUUCAGAACAUAGCAUGUAUAACAUCAGGGCUUCAAACUGUAAAACCAGGCACAUUUGAUUCCGUAUGUACAACUAAGUUGCAAGAUGCCAGCAAAGCUGGUUUGGUGACAAUUCAAGGCAAGAACUCAGCCGUGCUCGGAACAGUACUCAUCUGCAAGUGAUUCAUUAGCCAUCAAAAACUUUUGUAUCAGUUUCAUGUCAUGUUAUGUUAUAUUCUAACUUUUUAUCAUGUUUUUAUUUCAUGUUUGUAUUCAAAACUACGUAUAAUUAUACUUGUCAUAUGUGUGUAUGCAAAGCAAACAAAGGUAGCGGAAACGCAUCGAGCAUAAA
Molecule: long non-coding RNA, 519 nt
Organism: Gossypium arboreum
Lineage: Eukaryota; Viridiplantae; Streptophyta; Magnoliopsida; Malvales; Malvaceae
Exons: 2
Source: RefSeq, a predicted model, not a curated record